Molecule: ribosomal RNA, 913 nt
Filed under: Salmonella enterica
Lineage: Bacteria; Pseudomonadati; Pseudomonadota; Gammaproteobacteria; Enterobacterales; Enterobacteriaceae
Description: partial 23S ribosomal RNA
Rfam family: Bacterial large subunit ribosomal RNA
Source: RNAcentral
UGGCAGUCAGAGGCGAUGAAGGACGUGCUAAUCUGCGAUAAGCGCCGGUAAGGUGAUAUGAACCGUUAUAACCGGCGAUUUCCGAAUGGGGAAACCCAGUGUGACUCGUCACACUAUCAUUAACUGAAUCCAUAGGUUAAUGAGGCGAACCGGGGGAACUGAAACAUCUAAGUACCCCGAGGAAAAGAAAUCAACCGAGAUUCCCCCAGUAGCGGCGAGCGAACGGGGAGGAGCCCAGAGCCUGAAUCAGCAUGUGUGUUAGUGGAAGCGUCUGGAAAGGCGCGCGAUACAGGGUGACAGCCCCGUACACAAAACGCAUGUGCUGUGAGCUCGAUGAGUAGGGCGGGACACGUGGUAUCCUGUCUGAAUAUGGGGGGACCAUCCUCCAAGGCUAAAUACUCCUGACUGACCGAUAGUGAACCAGUACCGUGAGGGAAAGGCGAAAAGAACCCCGGCGAGGGGAGUGAAAAAGAACCUGAAACCGUGUACGUACAAGCAGUGGGAGCCCCACCACCAAAGCAUUCUCUGGUGUUGAAGGCCCUGCAAAGCAGCAUCGCGGUGGCGGAGCGUCGUUUGCGACGCCCAACACACAAAACAAGCGGUGAGUGCUUUGGGGUGGGGUGACUGCGUACCUUUUGUAUAAUGGGUCAGCGACUUAUAUUCUGUAGCAAGGUUAACCGCAUAGGGGAGCCGUAGGGAAACCGAGUCUUAACCGGGCGUUAAGUUGCAGGGUAUAGACCCGAAACCCGGUGAUCUAGCCAUGGGCAGGUUGAAGGUUGGGUAACACUAACUGGAGGACCGAACCGACUAAUGUUGAAAAAUUAGCGGAUGACCUGUGGCUGGGGGUGAAAGGCCAAUCAAACCGGGAGAUAGCUGGUUCUCCCCGAAAGCUAUUUAGGUAGCGCCUCGUGAA